GCCAGACUCCUACGGGAGGCAGCAGUGGGGGAUAUUGCACAAUGGGGGGAACCCUGAUGCAGCGACGCCGCGUGGGUGAAGGAGCGUUUCGGCGCGUAAAGCCCUAUCGGCAGGGAAGAAGGAGGACGGUACCUGACUAAGAAGCCCCGGCUAACUACGUGCCAGCAGCCACGGUAAUACGUAGGGGGCAAGCGUUAUCCGGAUUUACUGGGUGUAAAGGGGGCGCAGACGGCAGCGCAAGCCAGGAGUGAAAGCCCGGGGCCCAACCCCGGGACUGCUCUUGGAACUGCGCGGCUGGAGUGCAGGAGGGGCAGGCGGAAUUCCUGGUGUAGCGGUGAAAUGCGUAGAUAUCAGGAGGAACACCGGUGGCGAAGGCGGCCUGCUGGACUGCGACUGACGUUGAGGCCCGAAAGCGUGGGGAGCAAACAGGAUUAGAUACCCGGGUAC
This 447-nucleotide ribosomal RNA is filed under the name uncultured bacterium. Its description in RNAcentral is "bacterial SSU rRNA". It matches the Rfam family "Bacterial small subunit ribosomal RNA", at positions 330 to 793 of the family's 1533-position model. The record is from RNAcentral.